GGGUCUCUAUGGGUCUCUAUGGGUCCCUACGUGUCUCUAUGGGUUCUCUAUGGGUCCCUACGUGUCUCUAUGGGUCCCUAUGUGUCCCUACGGGUCCCUGUGGGUCUCUAUGGGUCUCUGUGGGGUGUCUAUGGGUCUCUAUGGGUGUUGAUGGGGUCUCUAUGGGUCUCUAUGUGUCCCUAUGGGUCCCUAUGUGUCUCUAUGGGUCCCUAUGGGUCCCCAUGGGUCCUACGAGUCCCUGUGGGUCUCUAUGGCUCCCUAUGGGUCCCUAUGGGUCUUUACGGGUCCCUAUGGGUCCCUACGUGUCUCUAUGGGUCCCUAUGGGUCUGUAUGGGUCGCUAUGGGUCCCUACGUGUCUCUAUGGAUCCUAUGGGUCCCUAUGGGUCUCUAUGUGUCCUAUGGGUCCUAUGGGUCCCUAUGGGUCCCUAUGGGUCCCUACGUGUCUCUAUGGAUCCUAUGGGUCCCUAUGGGUCCCCAUGGGUCCUACGGGUCCCUGUGGCUCCCUAUGGGUCCCUAUGUGUCUCUAUGGGUCCCUAUGGGUCUUUAUGGGUCUCUACGGGUCCGUGUGGGUCUCUAUGGGUCCCUAUGUGUCCCUAUGGGUCUGUAUGGGUCGCUAUGGGUCCCUAUGUGUCCCUAUGGGUCCUAUGGGUCCCUGUGGCUCCCUAUGUGUCCCUAUGUGUCCCUAUGUGUCUCUAUGGUUCCCUAUGGGUCUUUAUGGGUCUCUAUGGGUCCGUGUGGGUCCCUAUGGGUCCCCAUGUGUCCCUAUGGGUCUCUAUGGGUCUCUAUGGGUCCGUGUGGGUCCCUAUGUGUCCCUAUGGGUCCUAUGUGUCCCCAUGUGUCCCUACGGGUCCUAUGUGUCCCCAUGUGUCCCCGUGUGUCCCUGUGGGUGCGACUCACACGAGGUGGGUGCAGUCGGGCCCCCACUGCGGCCGGUACUUCGCCCCCAUGUUGACGGCGGCGGCCCUCAGGCGGCCCCGCAGCGGGUGGGUGAAACCGCUCAGCGCCACCACCACCCCCCCCAGGACCCCCGCCCCCUUUAUGGGGUCG
This 1047-nucleotide long non-coding RNA is filed under the name Phasianus colchicus (ring-necked pheasant). RNAcentral describes it as "lncRNA (ENSPCLG00000017453.1)". The record is from RNAcentral. Lineage: Eukaryota; Metazoa; Chordata; Aves; Galliformes; Phasianidae.